This 1449-nucleotide ribosomal RNA is filed under the name Bacteroides thetaiotaomicron. RNAcentral's name for it is "bacterial SSU rRNA". It matches the Rfam family "Bacterial small subunit ribosomal RNA". Lineage: Bacteria; Pseudomonadati; Bacteroidota; Bacteroidia; Bacteroidales; Bacteroidaceae. The record is from RNAcentral.
AGAGUUUGAUCCUGGCUCAGGAUGAACGCUAGCUACAGGCUUAACACAUGCAAGUCGAGGGGCAGCAUUUCAGUUUGCUUGCAAACUGGAGAUGGCGACCGGCGCACGGGUGAGUAACACGUAUCCAACCUGCCGAUAACUCGGGGAUAGCCUUUCGAAAGAAAGAUUAAUACCCGAUGGCAUAAUUAGACCGCAUGGUCUUAUUAUUAAAGAAUUUCGGUUAUCGAUGGGGGAUGCGUUCCAUUAGGCAGUUGGGUGGAGGUAACGGCUCACCAAACCUUCGAUGGGAUAGGGGUUCUGGAGAGGGAAGGUCCCCCACAUUGGGAACUGNAGACACGGUCCAAACUCCUACGGGNAGGCAGCAGUGAGGGAAUAUUGGUCAAUGGNACGAGAGUCUGAACCAGCCAAGUAGCGUGAAGGAUGACUGCCCUAUGGGUUGUAAACUUCUUUUAUAUGGGAAUAAAGUUUUCCACGUGUGGAAUUUUGUAUGUACCAUAUGAAUAAGGAUCGGCUAACUCCGUGCCAGCAGCCGCGGUAAUACGGAGGAUCCGAGCGUUAUCCGGAUUUAUUGGGUUUAAAGGGAGCGUAGGUGGACAGUUAAGUCAGUUGUGAAAGUUUGCGGCUCAACCGUAAAAUUGCAGUUGAUACUGGCUGUCUUGAGUACAGUAGUAGGUGGGCGGAAUUCGUGGUGUAGCGGUGGAAAUGCUUAGAUAUCACGGAAGGAACUCCGAUUGCGGAAGGCAGCUCACUGGGACUGCAACUGGACACUGGAUGCUCGAAAGUGUGGGUAUCAAACAGGGAUUAGAUACCCUGGGUAGUCCACACAGUAAACGAUGAAUACUCGCUGUUUGCGAUAUACAGUAAGCGGCCAAGCGAAAGCAUUAAGUUAUUCCACCUGGGGGAGUACGCCGGCAACGGUGAAACUCAAAGGGAAUUGACGGGGGCCCGCACAAGCGGAGGAACAUGUGGUUUAAUUCGAUGAUACGCGAGGAACCUUACCCGGGCUUAAAUUGCAUUUGAAUAAUCUGGAAACCAGGUUAGCCGCAAGGCAAAUGUGAAGGUGCUGCAUGGUUGUCGUCAGUCUACGUGCCGUGAGGUGUCGGCCUUUAAGUGCCCCAUAACCGAGCGCCAACCCCUUAUCCUUUAGUUUACUAACCAGGUCAUGGCUGAGGGANCUUCUAGAGGAGGACUGNCCGUCCGUAAGAUGUGAGGAAGGUGGGGAUGACGUACAAAUCAGCACGGCCCCUUACGUCCGGGGNUACACACGUGUUACAAUGGGGGGUAUCAGAAGGCAGCUACCCUGGUGACAGGAUGCUAAUGCCCAAAAGCCUCUCCUCAGUUCCGGAUCGAAGUGCUGCAACCCGACUUCGUGAAGCUGGAUUCGCUAGUAAUCGCGCAUCAGCCAUGGCGCGGUGAAUACGUUNCCCGGGCCUUGUACACACCGCCCGU